GAAAUGUCAGGCGUGGUGGGAGCAGUCCAGUCAGGCCAGUCUCAGCCUGCUCCUGUCUCCUCGUCACCAUGAUUCUCUCAGGCCUGCUGGGAUUGCUGUUUGGGCGAUCAGUCUUUAACUCAUUUCUCAUUUUAAGCAGCUUAAGGUGUGAAUCUGUGGUGGCUUCAGAUGAUCUGAAUCCCAGCGUCUCCCACCCCCUCUUCGCAUUCCCAGCUCCACACGUUCCCAUCUCUGUUCCCGUGCCUGCCAUGAGCACUUGUGCUGCCUCUCGCUUCAGCAGCGAGGCAUUGCCAACAAGGCUUAUUUGGGCUGUACAGACAUAAGGCAGUUCUUCAGGGGAUGUGUCCGUUGACCAUAAAACAUUUGGGGUCUCCAGCCAAGACUUUGUUUUCUAAAUUAU
This 400-nucleotide long non-coding RNA is filed under the name Gallus gallus (chicken). Its description in RNAcentral is "lncRNA (ENSGALG00010003023.1)". The record is from RNAcentral. Lineage: Eukaryota; Metazoa; Chordata; Aves; Galliformes; Phasianidae.